RNAcentral lists this ribosomal RNA (421 nucleotides) under uncultured eukaryote. Its description in RNAcentral is "SSU rRNA". It matches the Rfam family "Eukaryotic small subunit ribosomal RNA", at positions 592 to 1018 of the family's 1831-position model. The record is from RNAcentral.
CAAUAGCGUAUAUUAAAGUUGUUGCAGUUAAAAAGCUCGUAGUUGGAUCUCGGGUCCCGGCCUGCGGUUCACCACACGGUGUCUACUGCCCGUCCGGACCUACCUGCCGGUUUUCCCCUGGUUCUCUUCGUUGAGUGCCUCGGGUGGCCGGAACGUUUACUUUGAAAAAUUAGAGUGUUCAAAGCAGGCGGUUCGCCUGAAUAAUGGUGCAUGGAAUAAUGGAAUAGGACCUCGGUUCUAUUUUGUUGGUUUUCGGAAGUCGAGGUAAUGAUUAAGAGGGACAGACGGGGGCAUUCGUAUUACGGUGUUAGAGGUGAAAUUCUUGGAUCGCCGUAAGACGAACUACUGCGAAAGCAUUUGCCAAGAAUGUUUUCAUUAGUCAAGAACGAAAGUCAGAGGUUCGAAGACGAUCAGAUACCAU